AGAGUUUGAAUCAUGGCUCAGAUUGAACGCUGGCGCCAGGCCUAACACAUGCAAGUCGAACGGUAACAUUUCUAGCUUGCUAGAAGAUGACGAGUGGCGGACGGGUGAGUAAUGCUUGGGACCUUGCCUUUGCGAGGGGGAUAACAGUUGGAAACGACUGCUAAUACCGCAUAAUGUUUUCGAACCAAACGGGGCUUAGGCUCCGGCGCAAAGAGAGGCCCAAGUGAGAUUAGCUAGUUGGUAAGGUAACGGCUUACCAAGGCGACGAUCUCUAGCUGUUCUGAGAGGAAGAUCAGCCACACUGGGACUGAGACACGGCCCAGACUCCUACGGGAGGCAGCAGUGGGGAAUAUUGCACAAUGGGGGAAACCCUGAUGCAGCCAUGCCGCGUGUGUGAAGAAGGCCUUCGGGUUGUAAAGCACUUUCAGUUGUGAGGAAAAGUUAGUAGUUAAUACCUGCUAGCCGUGACGUUAACAACAGAAGAAGCACCGGCUAACUCCGUGCCAGCAGCCGCGGUAAUACGGAGGGUGCGAGCGUUAAUCGGAAUUACUGGGCGUAAAGCGCACGCAGGCGGUUUGUUAAGCUAGAUGUGAAAGCCCCGGGCUCAACCUGGGAUGGUCAUUUAGAACUGGCAGACUAGAGUCUUGGAGAGGGGAGUGGAAUUCCAGGUGUAGCGGUGAAAUGCGUAGAUAUCUGGAGGAACAUCAGUGGCGAAGGCGACUCCCUGGCCAAAGACUGACGCUCAUGUGCGAAAGUGUGGGUAGCGAACAGGAUUAGAUACCCUGGUAGUCCACACCGUAAACGCUGUCUACUAGCUGUGUGUGCCUUUAAGGCGUGCGUAGCGAAGCUAACGCGAUAAGUAG
Molecule: ribosomal RNA, 863 nt
Filed under: Alteromonas sp. MOLA 430
Lineage: Bacteria; Pseudomonadati; Pseudomonadota; Gammaproteobacteria; Alteromonadales; Alteromonadaceae
Description: bacterial SSU rRNA
Rfam family: Bacterial small subunit ribosomal RNA
Source: RNAcentral